Musa acuminata AAA Group (dessert banana) is the source of this 84-nucleotide small nucleolar RNA. RefSeq annotates it as small nucleolar RNA Z159/U59. Lineage: Eukaryota; Viridiplantae; Streptophyta; Magnoliopsida; Zingiberales; Musaceae. The record is from RefSeq and is a predicted model, not a curated record. The transcript has a single exon.
UUCUCCAAGGAUGAUCAGAACUAUAAUUUUCCUCUGAGGUCAUGUACAAUGCGGAAGAUUCAUGGAGACCUGAACUGAGGAGUA